AGGUCAAGUAGACAAGGGCGCACGGUGAAUGCCAUGGCACUUGGAAGCCGAUAAGGACGUGACAACGACGAAAUGCUUCGGGGAGCGGUAAGUACGCAGAGAUCCGAAUAUCCGAUGGGGAACCCGGCACCUGAGGUGUCACCUUGAAUGUGAUAGAUAGCAUAAGGAGGAGACGCAGUGAACUGAACAUCUAAGGUACC
This 200-nucleotide ribosomal RNA is filed under the name chlamydia-associated clinical sample hnr-G. RNAcentral describes it as "partial 23S ribosomal RNA". It matches the Rfam family "Bacterial large subunit ribosomal RNA", at positions 1 to 211 of the family's 2925-position model. The record is from RNAcentral.